This 62-nucleotide transfer RNA is filed under the name Xenos vesparum. Its description in RNAcentral is "transfer RNA-Arg". The record is from RNAcentral. Lineage: Eukaryota; Metazoa; Arthropoda; Insecta; Strepsiptera; Xenidae.
UAAAAAACAAAGAAAAUUGUUCUUAGUUUCGACCUAAGCCUUAUGUUUAAACAUUUUAUUUA